UGGCAGUUAAAGAACAAAAACAGAGCAAUAAGCCUGCAUGGCUAAAUUUUCCCAGUGCCACUAACUGGGAGUUCAGCUGACUAAGACUGUGCAAGCCUAGCCCAUUUCGCUCACAGCAGGCAUG
Molecule: non-coding RNA, 124 nt
Organism: Procavia capensis (Cape rock hyrax)
Lineage: Eukaryota; Metazoa; Chordata; Mammalia; Hyracoidea; Procaviidae
Source: Rfam